This 400-nucleotide ribosomal RNA is filed under the name uncultured bacterium. RNAcentral's name for it is "bacterial SSU rRNA". It matches the Rfam family "Bacterial small subunit ribosomal RNA", at positions 359 to 776 of the family's 1533-position model. The record is from RNAcentral.
GAAUCUUGCACAAUGGGGGAAACCCUGAUGCAGCGACGCCGCGUGAGCGAUGAAGCCCUUCGGGGUGUAAAGCUCUUUCGGCAGGAAAGAUCAUGACGGUACCUGCAGAAGAAGCUGCGGCUAACUACGUGCCAGCAGCCGCGGUAAUACGUAGGCAGCAAGCGUUGUUCGGAGUUACUGGGCGUAAAGGGUGUGUAGGCGGUCCGCUAAGUUUGGUGUGAAAUCUCCCGGCUCAACUGGGAGGGUGCGCCGAAAACUGGCAGGCUUGAGUGCGGGAGAGGGAAGCGGAAUUCCUGGUGUAGCGGUGAAAUGCGUAGAUAUCAGGAGGAACACCUGCGGUGCAGACGGCUUUCUGGACCGCCACUGACGCUGAGACUCGAAAGCGUGGGGAGCAAACAGG